CCUACGGGAGGCAGCAGUAGGGAAUAUUGCUCAAUGGGGGAAACCCUGAAGCAGCAACGCCGCGUGGAGGAUGAAGCUUCUCGGAUCGUAAACUCCUUUCGUUAGAGAAGAUAAUGACGGUAUCUGACGAAUAAGCACCGGCUAACUCCGUGCCAGCAGCCGCGGUAAUACGGAGGGUGCAAGCGUUACUCGGAAUCACUGGGCGUAAAGAGCGCGUAGGCGGGAAAGCAAGUCAGAUGUGAAAUCCUAUGGCUUAACCAUAGAACUGCAUUUGAAACUGUUAGUCUAGAGUAUGGGAGAGGUAGGUGGAAUUCUUGGUGUAGGGGUAAAAUCCGUAGAGAUCAAGAGGAAUACUCAUUGCGAAGGCGACCUGCUAGAACAUAACUGACGCUGAUGCGCGAAAGCGUGGGGAGCAAACAGGAUUAGAUACCCGGGUAGUC
RNAcentral lists this ribosomal RNA (440 nucleotides) under uncultured bacterium. RNAcentral's name for it is "partial 16S ribosomal RNA". It matches the Rfam family "Bacterial small subunit ribosomal RNA", at positions 338 to 795 of the family's 1533-position model. The record is from RNAcentral.